RNAcentral lists this ribosomal RNA (253 nucleotides) under uncultured bacterium. RNAcentral describes it as "partial 16S ribosomal RNA". It matches the Rfam family "Bacterial small subunit ribosomal RNA", at positions 524 to 776 of the family's 1533-position model. The record is from RNAcentral.
UACAGAGGGUGCAAGCGUUGUUCGGAAUUACUGGGCGUAAAGGAUGCGUAGGCGGACAUUUAAGUCAGAUGUGAAAUACCCGAGCUUAACUUGGGUGCUGCAUUUGAAACUGGGUGUCUAGAGUGCAGGAGAGGUAAGUGGAAUUCCUAGUGUAGCGGUGAAAUGCGUAGAGAUUAGGAAGAACACCAGUGGCGAAGGCGACUUACUGGACUGUAACUGACGCUGAGGCAUGAAAGCGUGGGGAGCAAACAGG